Molecule: long non-coding RNA, 233 nt
Organism: Corylus avellana
Lineage: Eukaryota; Viridiplantae; Streptophyta; Magnoliopsida; Fagales; Betulaceae
Source: RefSeq, a predicted model, not a curated record
CGAAACGCCUAAAACGCUUGCGUGAAAAAUCUGCGGUCUACCUUUCAGCCCAGAAUUCUAGGGUUUGUUCUCGUUCUAAGACGCCGCUAUUCGGGGUUGUUUCGUCGAUUUCUGAUUCCUCAGUCGGUUUUGAUCGAGGUUUUAGAGAAGAAGGGGAUUUUCGGAGGGGUACGUAACUUUUGGUGAAGAUCUUUAUAUUUGUGGCCAGACUGAAUGAACUAAUGGAGUCCAAA